This 505-nucleotide unclassified non-coding RNA is filed under the name Hevea brasiliensis (rubber tree). The record is from RNAcentral. Lineage: Eukaryota; Viridiplantae; Streptophyta; Magnoliopsida; Malpighiales; Euphorbiaceae.
AGAUGCAGAGAGUGAAUGCUCCAGCCGGGCAGAUGCAGCUGAAGGGCUUGAUUGAGGCUUACGUUGAAAAAACAGGCAGCGAGAAAGGUGCCACGAUUUUGAGAGAAUGGGAGGCAUAUCUGCCACUCUUCUGGCAACUGGUACCACCAAGUGAAGAAGACUCUCCUGAAGCUUGUGCCGAGUUUGAACGAGUACUUGCCAAGCAAGCAACAACAGUACAAUCGGCGAAGUGAUCUACUGCAAUUCCCAAGUGAUCAGAUUAGACAACAGGAAGGUGUUCUUUGGUACUUUCCAGGUGAUUUUUUCCUGGGACCGCAUCAAGGAAAACAAAAUAACAACUGGCAUACUUGUGAAGCACCGAAGUGCCCCCAAAGACUGCGAUUUUGUGGAAGCUCUGCCCAAGGCAUCUUUUGAAACGAAGUUUCACAUGAUCGUGGAGGAUUCUUCUUUGCGCCCUUGCACUUGCACGCCCUAGUUAACCACCCCCCUGUAAAUUGGUUUGCUG